GGGGUUGUGGCUCAGUGGUAGAGCACUCGUCUAGUGAAGGUGAGGCACUGGGUUCGAUCCUCAGCACCA
This 69-nucleotide transfer RNA is filed under the name Ictidomys tridecemlineatus (thirteen-lined ground squirrel). RNAcentral describes it as "Spermophilus tridecemlineatus (thirteen-lined ground squirrel) tRNA". It matches the Rfam family "tRNA". From Rfam's summary of the family: Transfer RNA (tRNA) molecules are approximately 80 nucleotides in length. Their secondary structure includes four short double-helical elements and three loops (D, anti-codon, and T loops). Further hydrogen bonds mediate the characteristic L-shaped molecular structure. tRNAs have two regions of fundamental functional importance: the anti-codon, which is responsible for specific mRNA codon recognition, and the 3' end, to which the tRNAs corresponding amino acid is attached (by aminoacyl-tRNA synthetases). tRNAs cope with the degeneracy of the genetic code in two manners: having more than one tRNA (with a specific anti-codon) for a particular amino acid; and 'wobble' base-pairing, i.e. permitting non-standard base-pairing at the 3rd anti-codon position. Lineage: Eukaryota; Metazoa; Chordata; Mammalia; Rodentia; Sciuridae. The record is from Rfam by way of RNAcentral.